Molecule: ribosomal RNA, 241 nt
Filed under: uncultured bacterium
Lineage: Bacteria
Description: partial 16S ribosomal RNA
Rfam family: Bacterial small subunit ribosomal RNA
Source: RNAcentral
AGGAUGCGAGCGUUAUCCGGAUUUAUUGGGUUUAACGGGUGCGUAGGCGGCAUCGCAAGUCAGCGGUAAAAUUACGGGGCUCAACCCCGCCGAGCCGUUGAAACUGCGGAGCUUGAGUGGGCGAGAAGUAUGCGGAAUGCGUGGUGUAGCGGUGAAAUGCAUAGAUAUCACGCAGAACCCCGAUUGCGAAGGCAGCAUACCGGCGCCCGACUGACGCUGAAGCACGAAAGCGUGGGUAUCG